CAACUCUAUAUAAGCGUGCCCUAAAUAUUUUUAAAAAUUUCCGCUAUAAUUUCCCCCUAAAAUUUUUACUGAAAAACUAUGCCCUAAAAUAUUCGCUAAAACAUGUCUCUCAUUUUUACACGAAAAUCUCCUUUUUUUUCCUUAAAAUUUCAUAAUCAAAGUUGAGGGCUCUUCUCGUAUCUUUUAGCAGAUUGAUUGAAGCAAAUUAGAGUGAGUUCAAUUAAAUCUAUCGGGUUCUGUGGAAAUCACUCACGGAGAUGCUAAAUUUUGUCUCGGUUAUGUGCCAUCCGAUUCAAUUGGGAAUCUCAUUGUUUAGGGUUUACUAUCAUUUCUCAAAACUUGGAUAAGAUGACUGCUAAUUUUGAAAUUAAGCUCUAUUAUUUUGUGAUGGGAGGUUAUUAUUCUUGAAAGGUGAAUGCUCUUCUUCUUUCAUACAGUAUUUGCUCUUUAGAGCAGGUUGAAAUAAUUGGGGAUUUCAUUGUUUAGGGCUUACAACCGCAUCCAAAAACUUGGGUGGUGGAAGUAAUUUAUUUUUGAUUGAGGAUUAUUCAUAUGAUACACUCGUCUAUUGAGGUAAAGUGUAACUGUUAAUAUCCACUUCCAGUGUGUUGUUGUUCAAUACCAAAAAAUGAUUCAUUUCCAAUGGAUUAUUAUCAAUCAACUAUUUAUCAGUUGAAAGGGACAAAGGUCACGAUGUAGAUGUACGUAUGUAUGUGGAGGAUUGUUGCUUAGUUGUUAAUAUCCUUGAUGUUUAAAAAAAGAAGAAAAAUUAAGAUUAGCAACUUCUUACCGCCUGAUCUGUUCUUUUGAUAGAAAUUUUUUAUAGCUCUUGCUGCUUAGUUUCCCGGUAUUGAGGUUUAUAUAGCUUUGGUUAAAGCCAAUAGUGUGCAUGAUUCAAUUGAAUUUUGGGCUUGAAAUGAAUAUGAUAUUUUAUGGAUAUGUUGAAAGCAUGCUCUGAGUUGUUAUUACAGUGUUCUUUGUGUGUUUUGGGGAGUAUAUAUGCUAAAAUAUUUGAAGAUUUGGUUAGGUCCUAUGCUUGUUUAACUCGGUUUAAAGAAUCUGUUGGGUUAGAAUAUAAUAAUAAGUAUGUCCCAGUAUAUUUGUUUAAACCAAUUUGCCACCCACAUUAGAAGCUUUAUCGUCUAUUGUAUCAAGUUAUAAUAUUGAAUUUCUUCAAAAUUAAUUAUUUACAAAAAGCUCAUUAAAAGAGAGGGAAAACACACACAUAGGAGAAAAAUGAAGUAACAAAAAAAUUUCUCUGGAAGAAAUAGUUGAUUCUUCACGUACUCUUGCAAAAAUUUGUACCAGCUUUCUUAUUGUUUAGAAAAAAUGCCAAUUUAAACUGGUUAGUUUAUCAAUGGACCCUUUUUUUCUAUUUCAUUAUUGUUUUACCAUUAUGUCUAGGAGAAUUUCAACCAUGUUGCUAGUCUUUCACAUUCCCUUUUUAAGUACAUACUCAUUUAUGGGGAUUUCUUUGCUUGGUCAGUGAAUCUUGUUAAUGAUCUUGGUGUAAAAUUAUCAAGAGGCUAGAUAAAUGUAUAGAUGGAUAAUUGUCCACUUUGAGAUGAUCUUUGAACUUAAUCAGUUGUUGCAGUUGUUUUCCUGUUAAAUAGUGGAAAUCUUCAGACUUCUAGCAGUUUUAACUCCCCAAGGGAUACAGGGCGACUCAAGGUUCAAGGCUCCGAUCGUUCAUGCACUUUCGUAGAGGAAAGUUCUGGCGAGCAAUUGGAAAUGGUGGCCAAAGACAAUUUCAUCUAUGAGAAUUUAAUGAUGACUAUGGACAAUUAAAUUUUUUGUAUUCACGAUACUAUAGUAGUACGUUUGGAUUUGUAAAGUUGAAAUACUAGCAUGGCCCUUGAAACAAUUUGCUUUAUACAUUAAUUUAGUACACAAGAUUUA
Long non-coding RNA from Nicotiana tabacum (common tobacco), 1899 nucleotides. RefSeq lists it as uncharacterized. NCBI's taxonomy places the organism in Eukaryota, Viridiplantae, Streptophyta, Magnoliopsida, Solanales, Solanaceae. The record is from RefSeq and is a predicted model, not a curated record.